UACGAAGGGUGCAAGCGUUACUCGGAAUUACUGGGCGUAAAGCGUGCGUAGGUGGUUCGUUAAGUCUGAUGUGAAAGCCCUGGGCUCAACCUGGGAAUGGCAUUGGAAACUGGCGACCUAGAGUGCGGUAGAGGGUAGUGGAAUUCCACGUGUAGCAGUGAAAUGCGUAGAGAUGUGGAGGAACACCGAUGGCGAAGGCAGCCUCCUGGGCCAGCACUGACGCUCAUGCACGAAAGCGUGGGGAGCAAACAGG
This 253-nucleotide ribosomal RNA is filed under the name uncultured bacterium. RNAcentral's name for it is "partial 16S ribosomal RNA". It matches the Rfam family "Bacterial small subunit ribosomal RNA", at positions 524 to 776 of the family's 1533-position model. The record is from RNAcentral.